Phragmites australis (common reed) is the source of this 2059-nucleotide RNA transcript. It is a transcript of the gene named CMP-sialic acid transporter 1, with no coding region annotated. NCBI's taxonomy places the organism in Eukaryota, Viridiplantae, Streptophyta, Magnoliopsida, Poales, Poaceae. The record is from RefSeq and is a predicted model, not a curated record. The transcript is spliced from 9 exons.
CAAGGGACAAAUCCACUCAUGCAUACCUGCUUUUCAAGCAAGAACAGGCCUCAAGAACAUCAUCAGUGGUGCGUGGUGCCCUGCCGCCUCCAAUCUCCGUAGAGAAAGAGAGAGGGAGAGAACUGGACGGCGGCGAAGGAGACGACGAUGCAGUGGUACUUGGUGGCCGCGCUCCUCACGGUCCUCACGAGCUCCCAGGGUAUAUUGACUACUCUCUCCCAGAGCAAUGGCAAAUAUAAGUAUGACUAUGCCACGAUUCCCUUUCUAGCAGAAUUCUUCAAGUUGUCUGUAUCCAGCUUCUUCCUUUGGAAGGAAUGCCAGUCUUCGUCUCCACCAAGGAUGACAAAGGAGUGGAGGAGUGUGCGGCUAUAUCUUGUUCCUUCAGUCAUAUACCUCAUCCACAACAAUGUCCAGUUUGCAACCUUGACAUAUGUUGAUCCAUCUACCUAUCAGAUAAUGGGAAACCUGAAAAUUGUCACAACUGGAAUAUUGUUUUGGCUUGUACUAAAAAGGAAGCUGUCAAAUCUCCAAUGGAUGGCAAUCGUCUUACUGGCUAUUGGUACAACUACUAGCCAGGUGAAAGGAUGUGGAGAUGCACCGUGUGAUUCUCUUUUCUCAGCACCAUUUCAGGGUUACAUGCUCGGGAUACUUUCGGCUUGUCUUUCAGCACUAGCUGGUGUCUACACAGAGUACUUGAUGAAGAAGAACAAUGAUAGUUUGUACUGGCAAAAUGUACAGUUAUAUACGUUUGGAGUUAUAUUCAACAUGGGAUGGCUAAUUUAUGGUGACUUUAAAGCUGGAUUUGAGUUGGGUCCGUGGUGGCAACGCCUCUUGAAUGGCUAUUCUAUCAGAACAUGGAUGGUUGUCUUCAAUUUAGGGUCUACUGGUCUACUAGUAUCAUGGUUGAUGAAGUAUUCAGACAAUAUAGUAAAGGUGUACUCAACUUCAAUGGCUAUGCUUUUGACGAUGGUUUUAUCUAUAUAUCUUUUCAGUGUGAAAGCUACAAUCCAGCUUUUCUUAGGCAUUAUCAUCUGCAUAAUUUCCCUGCAGAUGUAUUUUAUGCCUGUGCACAUGCUUGUUGAAUUGCCACAAACAUUGCCAGUUACAUCAAAGUAAGUUCAUGUCACUGUUAGCUAACCUAUUGAGGGUAGGGCACUGUUGCCUGAAGAAGCAAGUUGACUAGCUGUAGCUCAGCUCUAUUUGAGUCAUCCAUUUGAAGUUUGAGCCUGCAAUCUCAACAGCUAUGGUUAGUUUCAUGCUGCAGAAAAGGUGAAUAAACUGUGAGAACUUGAUGGAAAUGUAUCGCGGGAGUGGAUUCCGUGUGGUGGUUGAGAUUCAGUUUGGAAGCAAGGAGCUGGCAUGGUACUUGUUGAAAUAUCUCGAGCAAGUGCCAGAUGGUUUUUUAUGUUCAUCGAAAAACAAUAUAAGUUGGUAUAGCUGUACUUGAAAAUUGUUGCUAGAUUUAUUGGUGGCACCCUGCUUUUGCUAGUUAUAGUCCAUCCCAGAGUCCCUUGAAUAAUGUGACUGCUCCAAAAGUCAGUUAUUGCAUAUUAGCCUGUAUAACUAAGUAUAGCUUGUUUCAUUGGCAUAGCAGUGCUUACUUGGGUACUGGGUCAUGUGUACUAAAUUCUCUGCCUGGGAGCUUAGUACUCUAUGACCACCUAUGAAAACAUGGGCACUGUUAGCCUAACCACCAGGAUGUGUAUGGAAAUAAGGCAAGUAUGAAGUUCCCUGGACCAAAUCAGAGGCAUUAUACUGCAGGAUACCUCUGUUGUAGGUCUGAGUAUACACUGCUAAUUCAGUUCACUUUUGAUUUUUGAUUUGGUGCAAGAAGCUCUAGGCUAGAAACUAUUUGCUAGUCCUGUGCUCUUGAGCUUAUCAUUUUUCCAUGGCAUGCUGAAUCUCUUUGAUUGGCAGCAUUGAAUUAUUAGCCUCCAGGUGACCUGGAUCUAGUCUACUUUCUAGGGUUCUGGACGCUCGACAUGUGAACAAUGAUCCUUGCUUAAAUCUUGCUAGGAUGAGUCAAGGGAUGAUUUUGCUGCCCAGAUACACAAAUAUU